UACGUAGGGUGCAAGCGUUGUCCGGAAUUAUUGGGCGUAAAGAGCUCGUAGGCGGUUUGUCGCGUCUGCUGUGAAAACUCGGGGCUUAACUCCGGGCCUGCAGUGGGUACGGGCAGACUAGAGUUCGGCAGGGGAGACUGGAAUUCCUGGUGUAGCGGUGAAAUGCGCAGAUAUCAGGAGGAACACCGGUGGCGAAGGCGGGUCUCUGGGCCGAUACUGACGCUGAGGAGCGAAAGCGUGGGGAGCGAACAGG
This 253-nucleotide ribosomal RNA is filed under the name uncultured bacterium. Its description in RNAcentral is "partial 16S ribosomal RNA". It matches the Rfam family "Bacterial small subunit ribosomal RNA", at positions 524 to 776 of the family's 1533-position model. The record is from RNAcentral.